Molecule: long non-coding RNA, 747 nt
Filed under: Zea mays
Lineage: Eukaryota; Viridiplantae; Streptophyta; Magnoliopsida; Poales; Poaceae
Description: long non-coding RNA (ZMAY_LNC000455)
Source: RNAcentral
AACAAGAGAAGAACUGACCUUCGACUGCAUUGCGCUCUUUUAGGAGCUCAGAGUUUGCCCCCUCCAAACGAGCGUUGGCCUCCCUAAGAGUGUGUUUGAUUUGAGGAAUGAAGUGAUCCAUCUUCUUCUCACUCCUCACUUUUUUAUUUGGUUUGGGGAAUAGAAUGGGUUGAUCCAUCACCACCCCAUUCCUCAUAAGCUAAUAAUUAGUAUAUACAUGAGGAGUGGGUUGAUUCCACCAAAAUUGAUGGAAUGAACUUAUGAUGUAUCACCUCAUGAAGCAUAGAGUGACUCCACAAACCAAACACACCGUAAGAGUCGACUUAGCCUCCUCGACCAGGGCCCUUGUCUCGCGGAGGACCCCUUGGAGUUGAGACCUCUCCUCUCGGAGGCGAUUUGCAUCACCUCGCGCAACGUCAUGCUCCGUGCGUAGGCUCGACGCCUCACCUUGAAGUCGAUCGACCUCGAGAUGGGCGGCCCUCGCGCGUAACUGCUCCAAUUCCACCUAAACGUACAACAAUGCCUCUGUCCAAGCCGUUAACCGCAUGAAGAGACACUACAAGGAACAAUCAGACAAUUUGUUGAAUAUCGACCGGAAAAAGAACAAGACAAGAGGAGCGAGCUAGAAGGGAGCACUCACAUGGCCAAAAGGGACAAAAUCUCGCGUCAUCGACACCCUGGCAAUCGAAGUCGCCUCUCCAAAACUACCAAGCAUGCGCUCAAUGGUCUCCAGGCUCAUGCCGGCCU